UUCCAUUUUUAACCACGACACGGGAGAAUGGU
RNAcentral lists this non-coding RNA (32 nucleotides) under Mus musculus (house mouse). Lineage: Eukaryota; Metazoa; Chordata; Mammalia; Rodentia; Muridae. The record is from RNAcentral.